Molecule: ribosomal RNA, 253 nt
Filed under: uncultured prokaryote
Description: partial 16S ribosomal RNA
Rfam family: Bacterial small subunit ribosomal RNA
Source: RNAcentral
UACGUAGGUGGCAAGCGUUGUCCGGAAUUACUGGGCGUAAAGGGCGCGUAGGCGGACCCUUAAGUCAGGUGUGAAAUCUUUCGGCUCAACCGGGAGUUUGCAUUUGAUACUGGGGGACUUGAGUGCAGGAGAGGACAGUGGAAUUCCUGGUGUAGCGGUGGAAUGCGUAGAUAUUAGGAGGAACACCAGUGGCGAAGGCGGUUGUCUGGACUGUAACUGACGCUGAGCCGCGAAAGCGUGGGGAGCAAACAGG